GAUCAGUAGAGGAUAUUGGAUUCUAAAUUACAUUGCAUCAAAUGUUUUAAUUCUUUGUGCACGAGUCCCCAAAUAAAAAAAGAAAGGGAAUAGUUAAAUAAGUGUAUUAGAUUUGAGAAAAUCCCAUUUUCCCUUGUUCCUGAACUCUCGACUUUUCUCCCAAAAGAAAACAUAACCAUCAUCUUCCUCUUUCAAGUUGAAUUCGUAGAGAAAUCUCAAGCAGAAGCUGCGUCUCUUUAAAAGAAAAGGUGAUUUCUUUAAUUUUCUAUUCCUCUAUGGUUCUAGGUUGAAGAAAAAUUUAUGCUUUGAAAUCUAGGGUUUUCGAAAAUUUGGGAGUUUCAUGCUAGAGUUGAAGUAUGAUUCUAAUAUUGAUAUAUAUUAUGUUUUUGAUAUUCCUAAGCAUGGUUGUGGUGGUUAAUUGCAGUAAUUGUUACUUGAUUUUGAAUUUUUCUCAAGUUAGUGUAAACCCUAGGUUGAGUUCGAAAAUUUUAAUUAUGUUCUUGAAUAAUUGAGUUCAUAUAUGAGUUCUUUAGCUAGAAUUAUGUUAUAUAUGAAUAUAUUAUGAGUUUGCACCAUAGGGUUUGUGAGAUUGAUUUUGUUAGUUUAGGGGAAGUUGGGGCUUUUGAGUUGAGAAGGGUUAUAUGCUAUUGUUUGAUGGAUAUAAGUAUAUUAUAGUGAUUCUAUAAAUUAUUAAGAGUAUAACAGCCUUUACUACCCAAUUCUUUUGUACAGCUCUAUAGUAUAAAGAGCAGGGAAUUGAUAAAGUUUCUAUUUUUAUGCAUAUGGAUGAGAUUAGUGACUUUAAUAAUUGAGUUUAAAUUGAGAUUAUCAUUGAGAUUUUAUUUCAAAGAGGUUGAGGAGAUUGAUAAAGUUAGUUUAUUAAACUAAAUAUGUAUCUAUUCAUUGAGAAUUGACAAACAUCUAUGAGCUUAUUCUUUUUUUUCCUUAUUGAGUUAAGAGGAUGAGUGGUGUUAUUGUAUUGAUGAUAUGAUGUGAGGAAAUGUUAGAAUAAUAAGUUAAUAGGAAACAUGAGUUAUUGUUAUAAUAUUAGAUAUAUAUAUAUAAUAUAUAUAUAUAUAUAUUUUAUAUUAUUAAAUAUUUUAUCUAUUUAAAGGUUCCGGCUAGGAACGAGCCUGACACUAGAGUACGAAGUAAGAGAAACAUAUCAGGUGGGCUUACUAACUCAAGAAACAAUGAUGCAUACUUUAUUAUAUAAAGUUUAAGUGUAUGCAUUUAUUUUCAAAUUGUUGACUUGCCAAUGUUUAAGAUUUGUAUGAUACCAUCUACAUAGAAGAACGAAUUCGGGUCCUGAGCGAGUCAGGAUUUGUGUACACAGAGUGACGGUUAACCUUGAGUUAGCUUGUCGUUACGUUUGGGAAGGAGGCCUACUUCUCAACGUGUUUAUUGAGACUAGUAGAUAUGGUACAUACUUACAUGAGAACUUAGUCUGCGCAGACACUUUCAAAUACUAUGUAAAAACAGUUUAGCAAACACAGGUUGCUUCAGAAAAUCCCUUGUGUAUUGCUUAAAGUGGCAAGUUCAAUAUAUAGCAUUAUCAUGCAGAGUUUUAAAUGUUUUCGGCAUAUGUUCACUGAGUGCUUGUGGUACUCAGCCCUGCAUAUCUUUUUAAAUGUGCAGGUUAAGUUUGGAUGAAGAUGGAAGUGUGCUGAGCUGGAGCUUUUUGUUUAUGUAAAUAGUAAUAGGCUCAGGAUGUUGUGUCUUCAUACAUAAUGUCCAAUGAUGUACUCCGCUGCAACACUUUAUUUCUCUUAUCACUUUUGACGUGUUGUAGAAUGUUUUAAAACCUUAACCUGUAUAUGAGCGUGAUAAAUCUUGGUUAUGAUAUUUAUUUGGUCUAAACUUCUUUUGUUAAAGUUUGAUGGCUAUGUAUGUGAGUUAAUUAUACGUUUGUCUUAGUUUCCUUUCAAUUACUUUCCAUC
This 1940-nucleotide long non-coding RNA is filed under the name Salvia miltiorrhiza (redroot sage). RNAcentral's name for it is "long non-coding RNA (SMIL_LNC011844)". The record is from RNAcentral. Lineage: Eukaryota; Viridiplantae; Streptophyta; Magnoliopsida; Lamiales; Lamiaceae.